GAACCGGAGCUAAUACCGGAUAAUAUUUUGAACCGCAUGGUUCAAAAGUGAAAGACGGUCUUGCUGUCACUUAUAGAUGGAUCCGCGCUGCAUUAGCUAGUUGGUAAGGUAACGGCUUACCAAGGCGACGAUGCGUAGCCGACCUGAGAGGGUGAUCGGCCACACUGGAACUGAGACACGGUCCAG
RNAcentral lists this ribosomal RNA (186 nucleotides) under uncultured Staphylococcus sp. RNAcentral describes it as "partial 16S ribosomal RNA". It matches the Rfam family "Bacterial small subunit ribosomal RNA", at positions 154 to 334 of the family's 1533-position model. The record is from RNAcentral. Lineage: Bacteria; Bacillati; Bacillota; Bacilli; Caryophanales; Staphylococcaceae.